UGGGGAAUAUUGGACAAUGGGCGAAAGCCUGAUCCAGCCAUGCCGCGUGUGUGAAGAAGGCCUUUUGGUUGUAAAGCACUUUAAGUGGGGAGGAAAAGCUUAUGGUUAAUACCCAUAAGCCCUGACGUUACCCACAGAAUAAGCACCGGCUAACUCUGUGCCAGCAGCCGCGGUAAUACAGAGGGUGCAAGCGUUAAUCGGAAUUACUGGGCGUAAAGCGCGCGUAGGUGGUUAUUUAAGUCAGAUGUGAAAGCCCCGGGCUUAACCUGGGAACUGCAUCUGAUACUGGAUAACUAGAGUAGGUGAGAGGGGAGUAGAAUUCCAGGUGUAGCGGUGAAAUGCGUAGAGAUCUGGAGGAAUACCGAUGGCGAAGGCAGCUCCCUGGCAUCAUACUGACACUGAGGUGCGAAAGCGUGGGUAGCAAACAGGAUUAGAUACCCUGGUAGUCCACGCCGUAAACGAUGUCUACCAGUCGUUGGGUCUUUUAAAGACUUAGUGACGCAGUUAACGCAAUGAGUAGACCGCCUGGGGAGUACGGCCGCAAGGUUA
This 549-nucleotide ribosomal RNA is filed under the name uncultured bacterium. RNAcentral describes it as "bacterial SSU rRNA". It matches the Rfam family "Bacterial small subunit ribosomal RNA", at positions 355 to 896 of the family's 1533-position model. The record is from RNAcentral.